This 440-nucleotide ribosomal RNA is filed under the name uncultured bacterium. Its description in RNAcentral is "partial 16S ribosomal RNA". It matches the Rfam family "Bacterial small subunit ribosomal RNA", at positions 338 to 795 of the family's 1533-position model. The record is from RNAcentral.
CCUACGGGUGGCAGCAGUAGGGAAUAUUGCUCAAUGGGGGAAACCCUGAAGCAGCAACGCCGCGUGGAGGAUGAAGGUUUUCGGAUUGUAAACUCCUUUUGUUAGAGAAGAUAAUGACGGUAUCUAACGAAUAAGCACCGGCCAACUCCGUGCCAGCAGCCGCGGUAAUACGGAGGGUGCAAGGGUUACCCGGAAUCACUGGGCGUAAAGGGCGCGUAGGCGGGAUAGCAAGUCAGAUGUGAAAUCCUAUGGCUUAACCAUAGAACUGCCUUUGAAACUGGUAUUCUAGAGUGUGGGAGAGGUAGGAGGAAUGCUUGGUGUAGCGGUGAAAUGCAUAGAGAUCAAGAGGAAUACUCAUUGCGAAGGCGACCUGCUAGAACAUAACUGACGCUGAUGCGCGAAAGCGUGGGGAGCAAACAGGAUUAGAUACCCCUGUAGUC